RNAcentral lists this non-coding RNA (96 nucleotides) under bovine gut metagenome. Its description in RNAcentral is "SAM riboswitch (S box leader)". It matches the Rfam family "SAM riboswitch aptamer (S box leader)". Rfam says of the family: The SAM riboswitch is found upstream of a number of genes which code for proteins involved in methionine or cysteine biosynthesis in Gram-positive bacteria. The record is from RNAcentral. RNAcentral also lists the same sequence under 1 other name.
CUCAUCGAGAGUGGCUGAGGGAAUAGGCCCUGUGACGCCCGGCAACCUAGCAAAGAAAAGGUGCUAAAUCCUACAGGUUUUACCUGAAAGAUGAGG